GGGAGGUAGGAGAAGAGGGGGCCAAGAGGAAGAGGAGGGCGGAGCGCAGCCUGGGUCUAGCUGAGCCUGAGCAGGUCCUCAGCUCACGGUGAUGCGGCCUGUGGUCCACCCGGCGAAGGCAGGUCUGUGUCAGAAUCAAGCCUUUUUGACCGGAAGGAAAGAAUGUCCCCCCUCCUCCUUUUUCUGCAGUAAAGGUGCUCCCUCUCGUCUGGCUGGGUCCCUCCACCUUCAAACUGCCCCACCCACCCGUUCCCGCCUUAGGUCCCCCUCCCCCCAGAUGCACAUCUCCAGGAUCCCAAUCUCUGCAAAUCAUUGGCAAUAUUUAUUCUCCCGGUGACUGAAACCCCCAAGAAAGAAAACCCUGGGUGUGGAAAUACGCCCCAGUGCCGCAAUCCCCGCGGUGCUCCUGCGUUAGGGGUAGAACACUAUGGCAGACGGAACUGAGGCCUCUGGGGAAAAGACCCCUGUAUGGCAACGAGUUUGUCUUUCCGAUUGAUGUCAAAACACGAGCGUCAGAGGAAAAUCCGUGCGGUGGUGCUGAGGUUCUCUGCUCCUGCGACUCCGUGGUGCCCCACGACGUCCGAAGCUAUUGACGGCUGAAACCAAGUACUGCGUGCGGCUGGUCACUUGCAACCACAUUAUUAGAUUGUAUUUACUUAUCCAAUUCAGACUUGCCGGCCAAGGGACCGCCACCACAACUUCUCAAAAGUGAUGUUUCCCCAAAAUAGCAAAUUCGGUCUCAAUUGGUGGCAGUUUUUGGCCCCAUAGAAUGGAGCUACUUGUUUCCCUUUUGGCGGUAUAACUGGAACUUAUAAGAGUGAAAAAGUACAGUGAAAUGGAGUGCCAUGAAAUUACUGUAUUUUUAGAUACAGAAGGACUCCAAAUUACCCACCAAAUAGGACAUUGUAAAUUCCUGUUAAAAUCGUUGUCUUCAAUUUUCCCCUCCAGCAACCUGAUGAGGUCUUUAAAAGCACACAAGUAAAUCCACCCUCGGAAGGCAGCUCGCCCCAGCCCUUGCCUCGUUUCCCAGGGCUGCUUUUUGUCGUGGCAUUCUGGAAUCAUCCCACUUCAUCUCUCACCUGAAUCUUGUCAUCUCGGCCAUCUUGACGUGAUCUGUGAACAAUGCUGAUCCCUGCGACAGGCCCGCUGGUCAAUCAGGCAGAACAGACUAUGCAAAUGCAGUGGAGAGGCGAAGCGCCGGGGAACACUGGCGCCCAUUGUCUUGGGCAUUUCAAAGCGCGGAGCAGCUGCGCAGACUUGUCGCCUCGGACCCUCGGUUGCCACACUAAUGUCAUCAUUGCAAAACAUCAGGUUCGAAAACUUUAAAACCCUUCCUUGGGGUUUCUGAGGUCGGACCUCUGACUCGGGCAACUCUGAAGUUUUGAGGUUUUUGAGUUUUCUCUUAAGCGUUGUUUGCAAGUUUAAAUUCGCCGAGAGGUAACAAGGGGUGAAUUUAACAGACACCAUCUUCUACUUUCAUAAUAACGCCGGAGAGAGAUUUUGAAAUUAUUUUCUUUAGAUUGAACUCAAAACAAUACACGUUAGAGCAAUUGCGUGCCACAAAGCAAACGAGUUACUUACACGAGGCAGCGGCGUUGUUACAAACGGCUCCCAAUUUAGAGUGCCCACCGUGACACAAGUCUUAGUGAUUUAUGUAAUUGUUCUCCCGAUUGCUGAGAUUAUGAAUCUUCCCCCUCUCCAUCGCCUCUCCCCGCCCCACCCCCAACUUUGAGUGUGAUCUCCGGUUUGGGGCCCCCAAACAGGAAGGCGGGAAGGAUGCCCUUGGUGCUGGAGGUGACGGCCCAUGAGGGCGGUGCUGAGCGCUGGGGCGCGGGCGGGGAAUGCGUUGGGUCCCUCCGGACCCUCACGUGUGGGCGCUGGACCCUUGUGGCGCACGGGCCGUGGUCAGGUCCAAGAGACGCCCCAGUCAGGUCCGAGGGACGCCAAGGCCCAGUGGAGCUUUGCUGUCCAGACUUCUGGAGGCCCCAGGGCUCCGGAGAAGGCAGUUUUCCUCUCUUAUCAAGCUUCUGUCCUCCCCAGGCCCACCGAUCUGUUAACCUGUCCUUUCUCUGCUUCUUUACAGGAUCCCAUGUCCUCGAUUCUCUCCCUACCUCAUCCAUGGUCUGGAAAUUUUUUUCAGGAAAAGGCAGUCAACACAGAGAAGGCCAACCAAGCCAAUUUCUAGCCCAGAGCUGAAAACAUAAGCAUAGAAGUUGAAGGCAGUGAAGGGCCAGGUUCUCCCCUGUGAGCACCGCCCCCGCCCCCCCCCCCCCACCACCACUGGAGCCCUGCAGCCUCUUGGUUCCUUAACAAACUGUGGAGUAGGAUUUGGAAAACGAUUGCCACCAAAUAAUGCUUUUGUAAACACAACAA
Molecule: long non-coding RNA, 2373 nt
Organism: Phyllostomus discolor (pale spear-nosed bat)
Lineage: Eukaryota; Metazoa; Chordata; Mammalia; Chiroptera; Phyllostomidae
Exons: 2
Source: RefSeq, a predicted model, not a curated record